AGAGUUUGAUCCUGGCUCAGGAUGAACGCUAGCGACAGGCUUAACACAUGCAAGUCGAGGGGCAGCGGUGGUGAAGGCUUGCCUUUACCAGCCGGCGACCGGCGCACGGGUGAGUAACACGUAUGCAACCUGCCUGCCACAGCCGGAUAAUCGGGAGAAAUUCCGUCUAAUACGGCAUAAUGCACCUAUGGGACAUCCUGUUGGUGCCAAAGGUUGAUUCCGGUGGCGGAUGGGCAUGCGUCGCAUUAGUUAGUUGGCGGUGUAACGGACCACCAAGACGACGAUGCGUAGGGGUUCUGAGAGGAAGGUCCCCCACACUGGUACUGAGACACGGACCAGACUCCUACGGGAGGCAGCAGUGAGGAAUAUUGGUCAAUGGGCGGGAGCCUGAACCAGCCAAGUCGCGUGAGGGAUGACGGCCCUAUGGGUUGUAAACCUCUUUUGCCGGGGAGCAAAGUGCCGCACGUGUGCGGUUUGGAGAGUACCCUGAGAAAAAGCAUCGGCUAACUCCGUGCCAGCAGCCGCGGUAAUACGGAGGAUGCGAGUGUUAUCCGGAUUUAUUGGGUUUAAAGGGUGCGUAGGCGGACGCUUAAGUCAGCGGUAAAAUUGCGGGGCUCAACCUCGUCGAGCCGUUGAAACUGGGUGCCUUGAGUGGGCGAGAAGUACGCGGAAUGCGUGGUGUAGGGGUGAAAGGCAUAGAUAUCACGGAGAACUUCCGAUUGGGAAGGCAGCGUACCGGCGCCCAACUGACGCUGAAGCACGAAGGCGUGGGUAUCGAACAGGAUUAGAUACCCUGGUAGUCCACGCAGUAAACGAUGAAUGCUGGCUGUCCGGGGGGAUUGACCCCUGGGUGGCGAAGCGAAAGCGAUAAGCAUUCCACCUGGGGAGUACGCCGGCAACGGUGAAACUCAAAGGAAUUGACGGGGGCCCGCACAAGCGGAGGAACAUGUGGUUUAAUUCGAUGAUACGCGAGGAACCUUACCCGGGCUCAAACGGGGAGUGACUCAGGCAGAGACGCCUGUUUCCCACGGGACACUCCCCGAGGUGCUGCAUGGUUGUCGUCAGCUCGUGCCGUGAGGUGUCGGCUUAAGUGCCAUAACGAGCGCAACCCCCGCGUGCAGUUGCUAACAGAUAACGCUGAGGACUCUGCACGGACUGCCGGCGCAAGCCGCGAGGAAGGCGGGGAUGACGUCAAAUCAGCACGGCCCUUACGUCCGGGGCGACACACGUGUUACAAUGGGUGGUACAGCGGGAAGCCAGGCGGCGACGCCGAGCGGAACCCGAAAUCCACUCUCAGUUCGGAUCGGAGUCUGCAACCCGACUCCGUGAAGCUGGAUUCGCUAGUAAUCGCGCAUCAGCCAUGGCGCGGUGAAUACGUUCCUCGGGCCUUGCACACACCGGCCGUCA
RNAcentral lists this ribosomal RNA (1407 nucleotides) under uncultured bacterium. RNAcentral's name for it is "16S ribosomal RNA". It matches the Rfam family "Bacterial small subunit ribosomal RNA". The record is from RNAcentral.